CCUACGGGAGGCAGCAGUGGGGAAUUUUGGACAAUGGGGGCAACCCUGAUCCAGUCAUGCCGCGUGCGGGAAGAAGGCCUUCGGGUUGUAAACCGCUUUUGGUCGGGAAGAAAAGGUUAUCCCUAAUAAGGAUGACUCUUGACGGUACCGGCAGAAUAAGCACCGGCUAACUACGUGCCAGCAGCCGCGGUAAUACGUAGGGUGCGAGCGUUAAUCGGAAUUACUGGGCGUAAAGCGUGCGCAGGCGGUUUGUUAAGUCUGAUGUGAAAGCCCCGGGCUCAACCUGGGAACUGCAUUGGAAACUGGCAAGCUCGAGUAUGGCAGAGGGGGGUGGAAUUCCGCGUGUAGCAGUGAAAUGCGUAGAGAUGCGGAGGAACACCGAUGGCGAAGGCAGCCCCCUGGGCCAAUACUGACGCUCAGGCACGAAAGCGUGGGGAGCAAACAGGAUUAGAUACCCUGGUAGUCCACGCCCUAAACGAUGCUCACUAGGUGUUGGGGAAGCGAUUCCUUGGUACCGAAGCUAACGCGUGAAGUGAGCCGCCUGGGGAGUACGGCCGCAAGGUUAAAACUCAAAGGAAUUGACGG
RNAcentral lists this ribosomal RNA (585 nucleotides) under uncultured bacterium. RNAcentral's name for it is "bacterial SSU rRNA". It matches the Rfam family "Bacterial small subunit ribosomal RNA", at positions 338 to 916 of the family's 1533-position model. The record is from RNAcentral.